UUACAUUAACAAGAUUUACAUGAGAAUGGCUACCAGUCAAUGAGCUUUUCAAACUAGCUUAUUAAAUACCCCGUGGAUAUUCGUCCGACACCGGAUCUUCCUGCUUCACGGCUAUUUAUCCGACAACGCUUUAAAAGCUAACACUAAACCAGUAAAAGGGUUGCGUUGUUUCUUAAGAACGAAGCAACAACAUACUCGAUACGCUAUACGUUUCGUACGCGGUGCGUAAGCGAAAAUCACGAAGAAAAAAAAAAGUAUAAAAAAAAAUAAUAAAAUAAUGGCGCGAGCAAGAAUCGAUCCCAGAACUUGGCGCACACAAUACGGGUGCCUAAACCACUACACUACGAAGGAUUCGCUUGAAAUUCAAUUAAAUUUACGCUGUUUUAUUUUUAACGACUUUAACGAUAUGGAAAUGUCGGACGAAUAUCCACUUCCUAUUAAAUAUU
This is a non-coding RNA of Paramuricea clavata, 446 nucleotides long. Lineage: Eukaryota; Metazoa; Cnidaria; Anthozoa; Malacalcyonacea; Plexauridae. The record is from the annotation of a GenBank genome assembly.